CAGGGUAUUAGGAAUUCUUAUGUUCUGCAUCAAACACAGCAACGCCCGGACAGGACGUCCGGGCGAGGAGCACCCGCGGCAUGGACGCCGCGUGUACUCCGGUUGCGUCAGCUUGUGAAAACUGUUUGCAGAACAUUAGAAUUCCUUAUGCCCGAAG
RNAcentral lists this non-coding RNA (157 nucleotides) under uncultured Roseburia sp. Lineage: Bacteria; Bacillati; Bacillota; Clostridia; Lachnospirales; Lachnospiraceae. The record is from RNAcentral.